UAUAUUUUAUGAUGUUUCCAUAGUUCAUCUGAUCGCCUUGAUGUACACAUGUUUGUCUUUCGCUCCUAUCUGAAAUCCA
Plodia interpunctella (Indianmeal moth) is the source of this 79-nucleotide small nucleolar RNA. RefSeq annotates it as small nucleolar RNA snR60/Z15/Z230/Z193/J17. The transcript has a single exon. NCBI's taxonomy places the organism in Eukaryota, Metazoa, Arthropoda, Insecta, Lepidoptera, Pyralidae. The record is from RefSeq and is a predicted model, not a curated record.